This 253-nucleotide ribosomal RNA is filed under the name uncultured bacterium. RNAcentral's name for it is "partial 16S ribosomal RNA". It matches the Rfam family "Bacterial small subunit ribosomal RNA", at positions 524 to 776 of the family's 1533-position model. The record is from RNAcentral.
UACAGAGGUCUCAAGCGUUUGUUCGGAUUCAUUGGGCGUAAAGGGUGCGUAGGUGGCGCCAUAAGUCAGGUGUGAAAUCUCGGGGCUCAACCUCGAACUGCACUUGAUACUGUGGUGCUUGAGUACUGGAGAGGAGAUUGGAAUUUACGGUGUAGCAGUGAAAUGCGUAGAUAUCGUAAGGAAGACCAGUGGCGAAGGCGAAUCUCUGGACAGUUACUGACACUGAGGCACGAAGGCCAGGGGAGCAAACGGG